RNAcentral lists this ribosomal RNA (894 nucleotides) under uncultured marine bacterium. RNAcentral's name for it is "bacterial SSU rRNA". It matches the Rfam family "Bacterial small subunit ribosomal RNA", at positions 48 to 947 of the family's 1533-position model. The record is from RNAcentral.
CUUAUGCAUGCAAGUUGAGCGAAGCUUUUCAGUAGUUUACUACAGAAAAUGACUGAGCGGCGAACGGGUGAGUAACGCGUGAGCAAUCUACCUUAGUUACUGGGAUAGCCCGAGGAAACUCGGAUUAAUACCGGAUAAUCUUAUUACAUCACAUGAUAUUUUAAGUAAAGGUCAGCCGAACUAAGAUGAGCUCGCGUUCUAUCAGCUAGUUGGUGGGGUAAAAGCCUACCAAGGCUACGACGGAUAGCUGGUCUGAGAGGACGAUCAGCCACACUGGGACUGAGACACGGCCCAGACUCCUACGGGAGGCUGCAGCAGGGAAUAUUGUGCAAUGAGCGAAAGCUUGACACAGCGACACCGCGUGUGGGAUGACGGUUCUAGGAUUGUAAACCACUUUCAGGAGGGAAGAAAAUGACGGUACCUCCACAAGAAGCCCCGGCCAACUACGUGCCAGCAGCCGCGGUAAUACGUAGGGGGCGAGCGUUGUCCGGAUUUAUUGGGCGUAAAGAGCUCGUAGGCGGUUCAACAAGUCGGUCGUGAAAGUUUAGGGCUUAACCCUGAAAUGUCGAUCGAUACUGUUGUGACUAGGAUAUGGUAGAGGUGAAUGGAAUUCCGAGUGUAGCGGUGAAAUGCGUAGAUAUUCGGAGGAACACCAAUCGCGAAGGCAGUUCACUGGACCACUAUCGACGCUGAGGAGCGAAAGCUAGGGGAGCAAACAGGAUUAGAUACCCUGGUAGUCCUAGCUGUAAACGAUGGAUACUAGAUGUAGGAAUUGGAUUGACGAUUUCUGUAUCGUAGCUAACGCGUUAAGUAUCCCGCCUGGGGAGUACGGUCGCAAGACUAAAACUCAAAGGAAUUGACGGGACCCCGCACAAGCGGCGGAGCAUGCGGCUU